GCCCAGACUCCUACGGGAGGCAGCAGUGAGGAAUAUUGGUCAAUGGUCGGGAGACUGAACCAGCCAAGCCGCGUGAGGGAUGAAGGUACAGAGUAUCGUAAACCUCUUUUGUCAGGGAACAAAGGCGGGGACGCGUCCCCGGAUGAGUGUACCUGAAGAAAAAGCAUCGGCUAACUCCGUGCCAGCAGCCGCGGUAAUACGGAGGAUCCGAGCGUUAUCCGGAUUUAUUGGGUUUAAAGGGAGCGUAGAUGGGUUGUUAAGUCAGUUGUGAAAGUCCGCGGCUCAACCGUGGAAUUGCAGUUGAAACUGGAGGCCUUGAGUGCACACAGGGAUGCCGGAAUUCAUGGUGUAGCGGUGAAAUGCUUAGAUAUCAUGAAGAACUCCGAUCGCGAAGGCAAGUGUCCGGGGUGCAACUGACGCUGAGGCUCGAAAGUGCGGGUAUCAAACAGGAUUAGAUACCCGCGUACUG
Molecule: ribosomal RNA, 469 nt
Filed under: uncultured bacterium
Lineage: Bacteria
Description: bacterial SSU rRNA
Rfam family: Bacterial small subunit ribosomal RNA
Source: RNAcentral